Helianthus annuus (common sunflower) is the source of this 816-nucleotide long non-coding RNA. RefSeq lists it as uncharacterized. Lineage: Eukaryota; Viridiplantae; Streptophyta; Magnoliopsida; Asterales; Asteraceae. The record is from RefSeq and is a predicted model, not a curated record. The transcript is spliced from 3 exons.
UAUCAUCUACAAACCCGUUUCUUUCUUCUCUCUCACUUUAUCUAUCAUCUCACCGAUCACCCACACCUUUUCUCUCUGAUCACCGGCAACCGCACACCCCAAAUCCCUCAUCUCAUCGAUCACCCACACUUAUCUAUCUAUCAGGGUGAAGUUGGUGUGAAGAAGAGGAAGGAGAUGGUUGUUUUGGAUAUGAAUACGGUUCCUAAUGAGGGGGAGUAAGUGGUUAUACGGCGGCGCGUGAUGUUUGUUUUGGAUCUGAAUACGGAUCUGAAUUGUUCUAACAGGUCUGUAGAUACAGUGAGAGAGAAGAGAGAGAGGUCAGGUCGCCGGAGCCUGAGGAGCUCAGGUCGCCGAAGCCGGAGGAGAGACAGGUGAUGGUGAGUUUUUGCUGUCAAGAAUCACAACGGAUUAAAGAAUGAAGAAUCAACAAUGGUGUCAUGAAAUCAAGACAGAAAAAGAAUCAGAUGCUUGAUGAGGUAAUUGUUGCACCGAAUCAAGAAGACAAGGGUGAAAAUGUUGAAAAGAAUGUGAUAACGAGGUCGUUGUGUGUAGAUGUUGCGGUGCGGAUGGUGGUCGUGCAGUGGGGGUUGAGAAGAGGUGGAGGUUGUCUUUCUGGUGGGGCGGUGGCGGGUGGAGGAGUGGUGGCGGCUGCAGAUCAGGUUAGGAGGGUUUGGGAGGGUCUGAAGUAGAUGAUGGUGUGCCAGAGGUGGGUGAGUGAAGAAGAUGAUGGUCUACAUCUUUUGUUUAAUUUAAUUUAGUUAAUAUGUUAUAUUAAAAUUAAAUGACCAAAAUACCCCUGAAUAAAAAGACAAAAUA